GAAAGUAUAAAAAGUCAUAUAUACCUAAUAAUAUGGUUUAGGCGUUUCUACCAAUUCACCCUAAAUGAAUGGACUAUGACCUAUAUCUU
RNAcentral lists this non-coding RNA (89 nucleotides) under bovine gut metagenome. Its description in RNAcentral is "Purine riboswitch". It matches the Rfam family "Purine riboswitch aptamer", at positions 8 to 95 of the family's 102-position model. Rfam says of the family: Riboswitches are metabolite binding domains within certain messenger RNAs that serve as precision sensors for their corresponding targets. Allosteric rearrangement of mRNA structure is mediated by ligand binding, and this results in modulation of gene expression. A class of riboswitches that selectively recognises guanine and becomes saturated at concentrations as low as 5 nM. The record is from RNAcentral.